This 93-nucleotide transfer RNA is filed under the name Candidatus Omnitrophota bacterium. Its description in RNAcentral is "tRNA-Ser". It matches the Rfam family "tRNA". From Rfam's summary of the family: Transfer RNA (tRNA) molecules are approximately 80 nucleotides in length. Their secondary structure includes four short double-helical elements and three loops (D, anti-codon, and T loops). Further hydrogen bonds mediate the characteristic L-shaped molecular structure. tRNAs have two regions of fundamental functional importance: the anti-codon, which is responsible for specific mRNA codon recognition, and the 3' end, to which the tRNAs corresponding amino acid is attached (by aminoacyl-tRNA synthetases). tRNAs cope with the degeneracy of the genetic code in two manners: having more than one tRNA (with a specific anti-codon) for a particular amino acid; and 'wobble' base-pairing, i.e. permitting non-standard base-pairing at the 3rd anti-codon position. Lineage: Bacteria; Pseudomonadati; Candidatus Omnitrophota. The record is from RNAcentral.
GGAGAGGUGCGAGAGCGGUUGAAUCGGCACGCCUGGAGAGCGUGUGGCCGCCCACAAGGUGGCUCCUGGGUUCGAAUCCCAGCCUCUCCGCCA